UGCGUAGGCGGCCCCGUGUGUCAGAGGUGAAAUCCCACGGCUCAACCGUGGAACUGCCUUUGAAACUGCAGGGCUUGAGUCCGGAAGAGGAAGGUGGAAUUCCUGGUGUAACGGUGAAAUGUGCAGAUAUCAGGAAGAACACCCGUGGCGAAGGCGGCCUUCUGGUCCGGUACUGACGCUGAGGCACGAAAGCUAGGGUAUCAAACG
This 207-nucleotide ribosomal RNA is filed under the name uncultured bacterium. RNAcentral's name for it is "partial 16S ribosomal RNA". It matches the Rfam family "Bacterial small subunit ribosomal RNA", at positions 568 to 774 of the family's 1533-position model. The record is from RNAcentral.